This 489-nucleotide ribosomal RNA is filed under the name uncultured bacterium. RNAcentral's name for it is "partial 16S ribosomal RNA". It matches the Rfam family "Bacterial small subunit ribosomal RNA", at positions 30 to 507 of the family's 1533-position model. The record is from RNAcentral.
UUGAACGCUGGCGGCAGGCCUAACACAUGCAAGUCGAACGGUAACAGGAAGAAGCUUGCUUCUUUGCUGACGAGUGGCGGACGGGUGAGUAAUGUCUGGGAAACUGCCUGAUGGAGGGGGAUAACUACUGGAAACGGUAGCUAAUACCGCAUAAUGUCGCAAGACCAAAGAGGGGGACCUUCGGGCCUCUUGCCAUCGGAUGUGCCCAGAUGGGAUUAGCUAGUAGGUGGGGUAACGGCUCACCUAGGCGACGAUCCCUAGCUGGUCUGAGAGGAUGACCAGCCACACUGGAACUGAGACACGGUCCAGACUCCUACGGGAGGCAGCAGUGGGGAAUAUUGCACAAUGGGCGCAAGCCUGAUGCAGCUAUGCCGCGUGUAUGAAGAAGGCCUUCGGGUUGUAAAGUACUUUCAGCGGGGAGGAAGGGAGUAAAGUUAAUACCUUUGCUCAUUGACGUUACCCGCAGAAGUAGCACCGGCUAACUCCGUG